Molecule: ribosomal RNA, 469 nt
Filed under: uncultured bacterium
Lineage: Bacteria
Description: partial 16S ribosomal RNA
Rfam family: Bacterial small subunit ribosomal RNA
Source: RNAcentral
GACGAACGCUGGCGGCGUGCUUAACACAUGCAAGUCGAACGGAAAGGCCCUGCUUGCCGGGUGCUCGAGUGGCGAACGGGUGAGUAACACGUGGGUGAUCUGCCCCUUAUUUUGGGAUAAGCCUGGUGAACUGGGUCUAAUACUGGAUAGGACCAUGCUGGAGGGGGUGUGGUGGUAAGAUUAGUUUCGGUAAGGGAUGAGCUUGCGGCCUAUCAGUUUGUUGGUGGGGUAAUGGCCUACCAAGGCGUCGACGGGUAGCCGGCCUGAGAGGGUGGACGGCCACAUUGGGACUGAGAUACGGCCCAGACUCCUACGGGAGGCAGCAGUGGGGAAUAUUGCACAAUGGGCGCAAGCCUGAUGCAGCGACGCCGCGUGGGGGAUGACGGCCUUCGGGUUGUAAACUCCUUUCAGCCAUGACGAAGCCCUUGUGGUGACGGUAGUGGUAGAAGAAGCACCGGCUAACUACGUG